Long non-coding RNA from Raphanus sativus (radish), 1079 nucleotides. RefSeq lists it as uncharacterized. The record is from RefSeq and is a predicted model, not a curated record. NCBI's taxonomy places the organism in Eukaryota, Viridiplantae, Streptophyta, Magnoliopsida, Brassicales, Brassicaceae. The transcript has 4 exons.
GUCAAAACGGGCUUCUCUACCCAUUUACGUCCAAGCCCGUUUAGUUUUUGUGUCCAUAUAGAGCCCAUUUACUUAAUUAUAUUAAACGGGUUUCGACGGGUUUGUCCACGUAUGUCCGUUUAAUAAACGGGUUUCAAUAAAAAUAGUUGGACAGCCCGUUAAGCCCAUUUAUUUUUUUUUCUCUGUUUUGAACGAUGUCGUUUUUAUGGCGUUAACAUUAACCUAAUCUCUUUGUCGUCGUUUUCAGUCUUCAUCUUCUUGCCUCCUUUCGAAAAUAUCAAAAUGCCUUCUAGGGUUUCGAAUAUCAAAGUGCCUUCUUGGGUUUCGAUUUGUCUGUUCAUCUCGUGUCUUCUACUUCUUCGUCUUCACUCUCUCUUCCUCGCAUCUUAGAGACAGUCAAGUAUGAAACAAGUGUAGAGGAAGCAAGACACUCUCUCUUACUCGCAUCCUUUUACGGUCAAGGGGAGGGGAUGAUGGUUUUGUAGCCGUUCGUUUGUAGUGGAAGAAAGAGGAUCGUGGCUUCUAUCAUCUCAAGGGAUGGACUCUGAAUCUGUGCACACUAUGGCGCUUCUUGAAGCUCAACGUGAAUACAUGGAUAUGAAUGAUGAAGAUGCUGAAUUUGAGGAAGAUGAAGAUGCUGAAUUUGAUGUCGAUGAGGAGUUGGCAGAAGCAGACGUUCAGUGUGAAACACAAGCUACUGCAUCAACACAAGCAGCGAAAUAGACUGAUAGGCUAUGUUUUAAUCAUGGACAGGUCCUGGUGGUUCAAAAAUGAAAAGAGUAACUUAUGGACACUUGCUGUGAAGUAGAACUUUAUAUUUGAGUUAUGUUGUGAUUUGUAAACUUUGAGUUUCAAUUAUGUUUUAUAUGACAGGUUUCAGGUUUCAUUCUUUUUAUGAUGCAGAUAGGUUAUGUUCAUUUUUUAAAAAAAUAAACGGGCUUUUAAAGGGUUUUAAAUGGGUUUGAUGUUAAAUGGGCUUAUAUAAAUGGGUUUUAAAUGGGUUUAGUUUAAACGGGCUUUAAAUGGACAUCUAUUAAACGGGUUUGGACAUAUAUGGAGUUGGACGUAAACGGGCCGGG